Molecule: ribosomal RNA, 494 nt
Filed under: uncultured bacterium
Lineage: Bacteria
Description: partial 16S ribosomal RNA
Rfam family: Bacterial small subunit ribosomal RNA
Source: RNAcentral
GACGAACGCUGGCGGCGCGCUUAACACAUGCAAGUCGAACGGAAAGGCCUGCUUUCCCUUGUGGAUUGCGGGUACUCGAGUGGCGAACGGGUGAGUAACACGUGAGUGAUCUGCCCCCAACUUGGGUAUAAGCCUGGGAAACUGGGUCUAAUUCCCGAUAGGACUGCAGGGUGGUGCCUGUGGUGGAAAACGAUUUUCUAGUGGUUGGGGAUGAGCUCGCGGCCUAUCAGCUUGUUGGUGGGGUAAUGGCCUACCAAGGCGGCGACGGGUAGCCGGCCCGAGAGGGUGGACGGCCACAUUGGGACUGAGAUACGGCCCAGACUCCUACGGGAGGCAGCAGUGGGGAAUAUUGCACAAUGGGCGGAAGCCUGAUGCAGCGACGCCGCGUGGGGGAUGACGGCCUUCGGGUGGUAAACUCCUUUCGACCGCGAGGAAGCCACCUGGUUGGAAGGGUGGUGACGGUAGUGGUAGAAGAAGCACCGGCUAACUACGUG